UACGUAGGGGGCAAGCGUUGUCCGGAUUUAUUGGGCGUAAAGAGCUCGUAGGCGGUUUGGUAAGUCUGGUGUGAAAUCUCCACGCUCAACGUGGAGGGGCCACCCGAUACUGCCAUGACUGGAGUCCGGUAGAGGAGUGUGGAAUUCCCGGUGUAGCGGUGAAAUGCGCAGAUAUCGGGAGGAACACCAGUAGCGAAGGCGGCUCGCUGGGCCAUUCCUGACGCUGAGACGCGAAAGCUAGGGGAGCGAACAGG
This 254-nucleotide ribosomal RNA is filed under the name uncultured bacterium. Its description in RNAcentral is "partial 16S ribosomal RNA". It matches the Rfam family "Bacterial small subunit ribosomal RNA", at positions 524 to 776 of the family's 1533-position model. The record is from RNAcentral.